This 2511-nucleotide long non-coding RNA is filed under the name Marmota monax (woodchuck). The record is from RNAcentral. Lineage: Eukaryota; Metazoa; Chordata; Mammalia; Rodentia; Sciuridae.
GGGGUCUCUGGGUCUGCAAGCUGCCUUGUUGGCACACAAGGGGGUUAAGUGCUUGGACUUGAGUGGGGGCUGAGUGUUCAGCCUUGAGCAGGGGGGCGAAGCGCUCGGCCUUGAGUGGGGGCUUGGGCGUUUGGGCUUGAAGCAAACAGGUAAUAAAGAACCAGACAGAGGGUUUGAGUGGCCAGGUCACCCUGCAGCUAACUUUGUUUGGCAUGCCCUGCAGACAAAUUACUCAGCCUGUCCUGCACCUAACAGAAAGGACACCUGCAAAGUCCAAGGACCACAACACACACCAGAAUCCCAUGUAAGAGAUUUAUGUCAGUAGCAUGGAGCAAACUGAUAAGGCUGUCCCUUUCAGGAGAACAGCAGCCUGUUGGCACUCACAGAGCAGCUUUUUAGCCCACAAGAGGAAUUUCACACACGCGCUUAAGGGUUGUGUCAUGGGCUGGGGUGGGGUUGGCCUUUUAGCAGGCACAUCCAGAAGCCUGGGAGUCCCUAGACAAAAUGGCUCCUGAAUGGAAACUUGGGAGUCCCUGAAUAAAAUGGCUCCUAAAUCGGAACUUAGCAGGCCCUAGAUAAAAAUGGCUCCAACCUAAAAUGGUGGAUCUGAUGCUAAUAUUGAUCUGAUGCCAAUAAGUUCCACAAUCACUUCAUUUCUUACCGUGUUCGAGAUUCCCUGACAUGGGUUAGUAAUGCAAUCUUCUUUCUGUGAUCACAUAUAGAUUCUCCAGCAUGAAGUUGAUUUCAGAGCUUACAAGUUUCCUCUCCAGUGUGCAGUUUUAUACAAUCUGUGCUAAGAAAAAUGAUUUUGUCAUAUGCCCAUUGCACACAUAGGCUCUGCUUCCAUGGUGUCUUAUCUCAUGAUAAGUAAAGUGUGACUUAUAACUGAAUGCUUUCCCACACUCAAAGUUUAUGUGCCUUUCUGUGGUAUGAAUUUUCUGAUGUCUAAUUGAGAAAUCUGCUACAUAACUUUCCACAGUGACUACAUUUAAAUGGCUCCUCUCCUGUUUUUGUUGUGUCAGAAACUAAAUUUUGACCAAAAGCUUGCCCACAUUCAUAACACACAAAGGGUUUCUCUCCAGUAUGAAUUCUCAUCCACUAUAAGAUGUAACUUUUGUUGUGUUUUUUGAUUCAUUAAGUUCCAAAUUUAAAAUUCUCACAGAGUGUUAGGACAAAUGAUGGACACAUGACGAAGGCGGGAAGCGGGAAGCAAACCUCAGAUCAGCAGGCUUUUUUUUAUUCAGUAUUUGGCAGGGGAGACAAUUGGUGGAACUCAGGCAUGGCUUAUUUUGGGGGCAGAAAAUGGCAACAGGCUGCAGCAAAGGCCUGGGUUUUAUAGGCUUCCUUUAGGUUGGGACAGGAGGGCGAUUCCUGGGGUUCAUUAUAUUGGGGUCCAGUGACCCAUUAGGGUGGGACAGGAAUGUGAGUAGGAAAUUUUAUGGGGCUUAUUGUAUUGGUAUCAGGUGACUCAUUAGGGUGGGGGUCAGGUGCCAGUCAGGUGGAGUUCCUUUUGUGUCACUUGCUCUGGCUGAGGCCUGGGAUUUUAAAUGACAAAAGCUUGGGGGAAAUGGCCUUGGACUUAUUUUCCAUAUACUUCAAGCUCAAUAAAGCUAUUACAAAUAUAUUUUGUAUAUGCGUGCGUGUACAUAUACAAAAUAUAUACAUAUAUAUACAAAAAAUAUAUGCACACAUAUGUAUACAUAUAUAAUAUACAUGUAUAUAUACAUAUACAUAAUAUAUAAUACCAUAUAUAGGUGAGGGGAAAGAGAGAGAGGUCACCUAAUAACUGAAGCAAGCUCAUGCUUGGGAAAUGUUUUGUUUUGUUUGGUACCUGGGACUGAAUUCAGGGGCACGCAAUCACUGAACCACAUCCCCAGUCCUAUUUUUAUUUUAUUGGAGACAGGGUCUCACUGAGUUUCUUAGUGCUUCAUUUUUGCUGAGACUGGCCUUGAACUUGAGAUCCUCCUGUCUCAGCCUCCUGAGCUGCUGGGAUUACAAGCAUGCACCACUGUGCCUGGCUUGGAAAAUACUUUGGGUUAAUAAAAUGUGCUGCUUUUAGGAAUUAAUUCCCAUUGUAUCAACAGUGGGCUGUACAUUACUUCUAAUAGGCUUGGAAAGGCCCCAAAUACCAAAUGGUAAAUGGGGUAGCUUAGGGUGUGGGAGUGACCAGAACCUUAUAUACAACUUCUCGACAGUCUGUUUACCCAGAAAUGAGGUAUACUCCUCUGAAAUGAAAUUGCUUUAGUAGAUAAAUCCAUUGCUGAAACCAUCUGAAUUUAGCCUAUUAAGUCAGUUAUCAAGUUAACAAACUUAUGAAACAGUUGCAUUAAAACAAUGUACUUGGGGGAAAGGAAGGACAGCAGAAUAAAAUAGACAUUAUUAUUGCUGUAUGUAUAUAUGUGACUGCAUGACCAAUGUGAUUCUGCAACCUGUACACUCAGAAAAAUGAGAAAUUAUACCCCAUCUGAUUCAAAUGUAUGAUACGUCAAGAUCAUUGUACUGUCAUGUGUA